This 24-nucleotide small nuclear RNA is filed under the name Arabidopsis thaliana (thale cress). RNAcentral describes it as "snRNA_06450". Lineage: Eukaryota; Viridiplantae; Streptophyta; Magnoliopsida; Brassicales; Brassicaceae. The record is from RNAcentral.
UGUAAUAUAUCGUCUCGUAUUAAU